AAGCGGCAAAAGCUCAAAUUUGAAAUCUGGUACCUUUCGGUGCCCGAGUUGUAAUUUGGAGAAAGUGAUUCUGGGACUGGCCCUUGCCUAUGUUCCUUGGAACAGGACGUCAUAGAGGGUGAGAACCCCGUGAGGCGAGGUGAUCCAGUUCUUUGUAGAACGCUUUCGAAGAGUCGAGUUGUUUGGGAAUGCAGCUCUAAGUGGGUGGUAAAUUCCAUCUAAAGCUAAAUACAGGCGAGAGACCGAUAGCGAACAAGUACAGUGAUGGAAAGAUGAAAAGAACUUUGAAAAGAGAGUGAAAAAGGACGUGAAAUUGUUGAAAGGGAAGGGCAUUUGAUCAGACAUGGUGUUUUGUGCCCCUCGCUCCUCGUGGGUGGGGGAAUCUCGCAGCUCACUGGGCCAGCAUCAGUUUUGGCGGCAGGAUAAAUCUCUGGGAAUGUGGCUUCUUUCUUCGGGAGGGAGUGUUAUAGCCCAGGGGAAUACUGCCAGCUGGGACUGAGGUAUGCGACA
Molecule: ribosomal RNA, 510 nt
Filed under: Zygosaccharomyces mellis
Lineage: Eukaryota; Fungi; Ascomycota; Saccharomycetes; Saccharomycetales; Saccharomycetaceae
Description: eukaryotic LSU rRNA
Rfam family: Eukaryotic large subunit ribosomal RNA
Source: RNAcentral